GCAGAAUUCCGCGAAUCAUCGAGUCUUUGAACGCAAGUUGCGCCCGAGGCUUGCCGAGGGCAUUUCCGCUAGAGCGUCACC
Molecule: ribosomal RNA, 81 nt
Filed under: Toloxis imponderosa
Lineage: Eukaryota; Viridiplantae; Streptophyta; Bryopsida; Hypnales; Meteoriaceae
Also listed under: 1 other name
Description: partial 5.8S ribosomal RNA
Rfam family: 5.8S ribosomal RNA
About the family: 5.8S ribosomal RNA (5.8S rRNA) is a component of the large subunit of the eukaryotic ribosome.
Source: RNAcentral